GCGGGUCAAGACGGCCCAAGACGGUUUAAGGCAGCCCUUUAACGGGUCAAGGCGGCCCAAGGUGGGUCAAGGCGGCCCAAGACGUGUCAAGACGGCCCAAAGCGUGGCAAGGCAGCCCUUUGGCGGGUCAAGGCAGCCAUUUGGCGACCCAAGGCGGGUCAAGGGGGGGCAAAGCGGCCCAAGGUGAGGCAAGGCUGGUCAAGGCAGCCCAAGACGGGUCAAGGUGGGCCAAGGCGGGUUACGGCAGCCCUUUAACUGGUUAAGGCGGCCCAAGGCGGGUCAAGGCGCCCCAAAGCGGCUUAAGGCGAGUCAAGGCGGCCCAAGAUGGUUCAGAGCAGCCCCUUAACGGGUCAAGGCGGCCCAAGGCGGGUUUAGACAGGUCAAGGCGGCCCAAGGUGUGUUAAGGCGCCCCUUAACGGGUCAAGGUGGCCCAAGGCGCGUUAAGACGGCCACUUGGCGGCCAUAAGCGUGUUAAUACAGCCCAAGGCAGGUAAAGGCAGCCCAAGACGGAGAAAAGCGGCCCAAGGCAGGGCAAGGCUGGUCAAGGCGGGGCAAAGCGGCCAAAAGCGGGUUAAGGCGGGCCAAGGCGGGUCACGACAAGGUAGCCCUCAAGGAGUCAAGGUUGGUUAAGGCGGCCCUAAACGGGUCAAAGCGGGUUAAGGCUGCCCAAGGCGGGUCAAGGUGGCCGCUUGGCGGCCUUAAGUGCGGCCCAAGACGGGUCAAGACGGCCACUUGGUGGCCCUAAGAGGGUUAAGGCAGGGCAAAGCGGCCCAAGACGGGGCCAGGCUGAUUAAGGCAGCCCAAGACGUGUCAAGGCGGGCCAAAGCGGCUCACGGCAGCCCCUUAACAUGUCAAGACGGCCUAAGGCGGGUUAAGGCGGCUCAAAGAGGGUCAAGGCGGCCACUUGGCAGCCCAAGACGGCCCCUUAGCGGCUAUAGGCAUGUCACGGCGGCCCUUUGGCUGCCCUAGAUGGGUCUUGGCAGCCCAUUAGCGGGUUAAGGGAGGUUAAAACGGCAUAAAGAGUGUAUAGGUAGCCUUUUGGCUGGUCAAGGCGGGUCAAGGCAGCCUAAGGCGGUUCAAGGCAGCCCCUUAAUGGGUCAAGGCGGCCCAAGGCGGGUCAAGGCUGGUCAAGGUGGCCCAAGGCUGGUCAUGGAGUCCCAAGCGGGGCUAGGAGGGUCAAGGUAGCCCUUAACGGGUCAACGCGGGUCAAGACAGCCCAAGGUGGCCCUAGUUGUGUCUUGGCGGGACAAGACGGCCCUUGGCGGGUCAAGGUGACCCUAGGCGGUCGUAGGAGGGUCAAGGAAGCCCCUUUAACGGGUGAACCAAGGCGGGCCUAGAAGGGUCAAAACGGCCCCUUGGUGGCCCUAGACGGGUCAAUGCGGCCUCUUAACGACCUUAGGCGGGUCAAAGCGGCUCUUUGGAUGCUCUAGAUAGGUCUUGUCAGCCCCUUGGCGGGCCUAAAAGGCCCCUUCACGAGUCAAGGCGGGUCAAGAUGGCCACUUGGCAGCCCUAGGCGGGUCAGUGCGGCCCCUUGGUUGUCCAAAACGGGUCUUGGUAGCUCCUUGGUGGGUCAAGGCGGCCCCUUGGUGUCCUUAUACGGGUCUUGGUCCUAGUUGAGUCUUGGCGGGCCUAAGGGAGGUUAAAGCCACCCUAGGCGUGUAAAGGCAGCCCCUUGGCAGGUUAAGGCGAGCCUAGGCGGGCUUAAAAGAGUCAAGGCAACCACUUAACGGGUCAAGGAGGCCUAAGACGAGUCAACGCAGCCCAAGACAGUUCAAGGCAGCCCUUAACGGGUCAAGGGCGGCCCAAGGCGUAUCAAGGCGGCCCAAGGUGGGCCUAUGGGAGGUCAAAGCGGCCCUAGGCAUGUAAAGGCAGCCCUGUUGACCCGCCUUGGGCCGUCUUGACCCUUCUUGGGCCAACUUGGACCGCUUUGACCUGCCUUAACCCGCUUUGGGCCGCCUUCACCCUUCUUGACCUUCCUAGACCCUCCAAGGAGACCCUUUGACCCGCCUUGAUCCACCUUAACCCGCCUUGGCACCUUUACCCUUCUAAACCCGCCAAGGGGCCACCUUGACUCGCACAAGGCUGCCUUGACCCUCUUAGGCCUGCCUAGGGUUUCCAAGGGGUCGCCUUAACCCACCAAGAGGCCGCUUUAACCCUCAUAGGGCCGCUAAGGGGUUUCCUAGACCUUCUUAGACCCAUCUAAGGGCAUCAAGGGGCCGCCUUGACCUGUCUAGGGCCUCCAAAGGGUCGCCUUGACUCGCCCAGGGCUGCCUUGACCCGCCUUGACUCUCCUAGACCCUCCAAGGGGCCGCCUUGAUCUGCCUUAACCCACCUUAACCCGCCCAUGGUUGCUUUAACCCUUUUAAGCCCGCCAAGGGCCACCAAGGGGCCGCCAUGACCCUCUUAGGGCCGCCAAGAGGCCACCUUAACGCAUUUAGGGCCGCGAUGGCCUGUCAUGGGCCACCUUGACCCGCCUUGGCCGCCUUGACACUGAUACGGGCGCCAAGAUGUCGCCUUAACCAAUCUAAGGCCGACAAGGGGCUGCCUUGACCGGCCUUGGCCCGCCUUGACCCGCCUUGACCCGCCUCUGGCCGCCUUGACCCUCAUAGGGCCGUCUUGACCCGCCUUGACCCGCCUUGGACCGCUUUGACUCGCCUUAACCCGGCUUGGUCGCCUUUCUCGUCUAGGGCCGCCAAGGGGCUGCCUUGACCAUCCUAGGCUCUAUUAAGCCCACCUAGGGCCACCAAGGGGCCGCCUUAACCCGCCAAGAGGCCACCUUGACGCACCUAUGGCCGUUAAGGGAUUGCCUAGACCCAUCUAGGGGAACCAAGGGGCUAUCUUGACCCGUCUAGGGCCGCCAGGGGGCCGCCUUGACCUACUCAGAGCUGCCUUGACCUGCCUAGGGAUGUCUUGUCUUGACUUGCCUUGGCCGCUUUGACCCUCCUAGGGCCGCCAAGAGGUCGCCUUAACCCAUCUAGGGCUGUCAAGUGGUCGUCUUGACCUGCAUUGGCCCGCCAAGAAGCCACCUUAACCCAUUUAGGGCUGCCAAAUGGCCACUUUGGCCCGCCAUAGGCCGCCUUGACCCGCCUAGGGCUAUUUUGACCCUUUUAGGCCCGACUAGGGCAACUAAGGGGCCGCUUUGAUCCUCUAAGGGUCGCCAAGAGUCCACCUUAACCCAUUUAGGGCCGCCAAGGGGCCACCUUCACCUGUCUUGGGCCGCCUUCAUUUGUCUUGGGCCGCCUUCACCCGCCAUGGGCCACCUUGACCCGCCUUGACACUCUUACGAGCGCCAAGAGGCCGCCUUAACCCAUCUAGGGAUGCCAAGGGGCCGCCUUGACCCUUCUUGACCCUCCAAAGGGCGACCUUGACCCUCUUAGAGCCGUCAAGAGGCCGUCUUAACCCAUUUAGGGCCGCCAAGGGGCCACCUUGCCCCGCCUUGAUCCGCCUUGGCAGCCUUGACCCUCCAUGGGCCGCUAAGAGGCCGCCUUAACUCGCAUUGGCCUGCCAUGGGAAGCUGAGGAGAGAGAGAUUCGAAGAAGGGAAACUUUUCUAGGUUGCCGGCGAGUUCUCGAUUCCGGCCACGGCGGUGGGCGUGGAUGGUGUUGGUAGCUUUGUCUCGGUCUUGUUCACGUUCCUGUGCCUUCAGCUUGUUGAGAUGAUGUCCGGUGAGUGAGAACCGAUGUUAAGGAGUGGUUUAAAUUUUUCGACGAGAGUUCGACGGAUUCCGGUGUGCUUUGAUGUCGACUCAGGUAUGAAAAUGGGCUAGUUAGUCGAGCUCUACCUGCUUAUAUAAUUGGAAUUGAGAUUGGUUGGGAUUUGAAGAAGUUGGGUUUUGGCAGAGGAGGACCGCCGUGUGUGCUGCUGUGCACGGCGGCGGUGAAGGUGUUUGAUUCAUAUCUGGUUUCGAAUUUCAUAUUCUCUGUGUACUUGAGAUGCAGUUUUGAUUGAAAAUUGAAGGUUUGGAAUUUUGGAGUACUGUGUUGGUGUUGGCAUGAGCGGUAAUUGGCAGCGGUGAUGAUUUUGGAUUUGUUGUUCAUAUCAGGUUAUUGUGUUGGUGUUGCUGGGAGUGAGAAUAAUAAUCGUGUUACUCUGAUUUUGGUGGUUUCAUGUAUCUGUUGAUUGAUGAUGUUUUGUCAAAUGGAGGUUUGAUCUCAAAAAUGGAGGAAGUAGAAGAAAGAUGUUAAGUUGGAUAAUGAAAGUAUCUGUAGGUGUACUUGUUCCUUAUGAGUAAGUUCGUAUGCCUAGAACGAUAUUGUAGAAUGGUUAAAAAGAAUGAGCAUGGUAUUGGAUUUGGGAAGAAUUGCAAAAGCAAGAGGAAUCCCAAAUAGAGGUGUUGGGUGUCCAUAGUAAAAUCAGAGAUAAGUUAGUAAUUGAAGUGUUGAUAUGAGCAAGCUUAAAGGUGAAUUGGAAUGUGACGAUGAACUUAUUAUGAGCGAGCAUGGUAUGUAAUUAGGAAACUAUCGGAGAAAGUGAGAGGGAGUGUGGGAUUGAGAACUUGGGUGUCCUUAUCAAUUUGAGGACUUACACCCACACAAAUUCCAGAUUCGACACAGUUGUUAUUGAAGGUGGAGAAUUAGUAUAAAAUGAUGAACUACGAGUGGUUUGAUCCCUUUAAAAAGGUACGUAGGCAGCCCGAUCGAGUUUUGGGUGCAGCCGCAAAUUAACAAAAUAAAUUUAGGUUUCAAACACAACAAACCUUCUGUCUGUUUUGAGGUCCUACCACCGUUUCGAUUUAGGAUUUUCUUAGUUAUUUUAUUCGUUUAUUUUUCCUAACACCUGGGUCAGGGUGUUACAAAGACGACCCAAGGCUGGUCAAGGCGGGCCAAGGCUGAUCAAAGCGGCCACUUGACAACUCAAGACGACCCUAGGCGACCCCUUGGUGGUCCCAAAUGGGUCUUGGCAGCUCUUUGGUAGGUUAAGGCGGCCCCUUGGUGUCCUUAGACGGGUCUUGGAAGCCCUUUGGCGGGUCAAGCCAGCCCUAGUUAAGUCUUGGUGGGACUAAGGGAGGUCAAAGUGGCCCUAGGCGUGUAAAGGCAGCCCCUUAGCGGGUUAAGGCGACCCUAGGCGGGCCUAAAAGGGUCAAGGCAACCACUUAACGGAUCAGGGCGGCCCAAGACGGGUCAACGCAGCCCAAGACGGUUCAAGGCAGCCCCAUAAUGGGUCAAGGCGGCCCAAGGUAGGUCACGGCGGCCCCUUAACGGGUCAAGGCGGCCUACAAAGGGUCAAGGCGGGUAAGGGCGGCCCAACGCGUGUCAAGGCAUCCCAAGGCGUGUCAAGGUGGCCCAAGGAGGGUCAUGACGACCACUUGGCGGGUCAAGGCGGGUUAAGACGGCCCAAUGCGAGUCAAGAUGGGCACACUGCAGCCCUAAGCUAGACAAGGCGGGUUAAGGCGCCCAAGCGGGUCAAGGCAGCCCCUUAAUGGGUCAAGGCGGCCCUAAGCGGGUCAAGGCGGGGCAAAGCGGCCCAAGGCUAGGCAACGCUGGUUAAGGCAGCCCAAGACGGGUCAAGUCGGGCCAAGUUGGGUUACGGCAGCCCCUUAACGGAUCAAGGCGGGUUAAGGCAGCCUAAGGCGGUUUAAGGCGGCCACUUGGCUGCCCAAAGCGGCCGAAGACGGUCCCUUGGCGGUUAUAGGUUGGUCACGGCGUCCCCUUGGCGACGCUAAACGAGUCUUGGUAUCCCCUUAGCAGGUCAAGGCGGCCCCUUGGUGGCCCUAGACAUGUCUUGAUAGCCCCUUGGCGGCUUAAGAGAGGUUAAAGCGGCCAAAAGCAUGUAAAGGUAGCCUCUUAGAGGGCCCAGAAGGCCCCUUGGCGGGUCAAGACGACCACUUGGCGGCCCAAGGCGGGUCAAGACGGCCCAAUGUGGGGCAAUGCUGGUCAAAACGGCCACUUGACGGCCCAAGACGACCCUUUGGAGGCCCUAGGCGGGUCACGGUGGCCCCUUGGUGGUCCAAAACGGGUCUUGGCAGCUCCUUGGUGGGUCAAGGCCGCCCCUUUGUGUCCUUAGAUUGGUCUUGGCAGCCCUUUGGCUGGUCAAGUCAGCCCUAGUUGAGUCUUGGCGGGCCUAAGGGAGGUCAAAGCGGCCCAAGGCAUGUAAAGGUAGCCCCUUGGUGUCCUUAGAUGGGUCUUGGCAGUCCCUUGGCAGGUCAAGGUGACCUAAGACGGGGCAAUGCUGGUCAAGACGACCCUAGGCGAGUCUUGGCCGGCCCAAGGGAGGUCAAAGCGGCCCUAGGCGUGUAAAGGCAGCCCCUUGGCUGGUCAAGAAGACCCUAAGCGGCCGAAGGCAGUCGAAGGCGCCUCAAGGCGGCCUAAAACGGUUCAAGGCAGCCCCAUGGUGGCCCUAAACAAGUCUAGGCGGCCAUAGUUGAGUCUUGGCGGGCUUAAGGGAGGUCAAAGCGGCCCUAGGCGUGUAUAGGUAGUUCAACGCGGAUCAAGGCGUGUAAAGGUAGCCCAAAACGGAUCAAGGCGUGUCAAGGCGGCCCAAGGCGAGUCAAGACGGCUAAUUGGCGGCCCUAAGCGGGUCAAGGCGGCUUAAGGCGGGUCCUAAGGCGGGUAAAGGCAUCCUAAGACGAUUCAAGGCAGUUCCUUAAUGGGUUAAGGCGGCCCAAGACGGGUUAAAGCGGCCACUUGGCGGCCCUUUGCGGGUUAAGACGGGUCAAGACGGCCACUUGGCGGCCUUAAGCGGGUUAAGGCGGUCAAAGGUUUGGGCAAGGCUGGUCAAGGCGGCCCAAGGUGGGCAAGGCGGGUCGCGACAGCCCCUUAACAUGUCAAGGUGGGUCAAGGCGGCCCAAAAUGGGUCAUGGCGAUAACUUGGCGGCCCAAGGCGGCCCCUUAGCGGCUAUAGGCAGGUCACGACAACCCCUUGGCGGUGCUAAACGGGCUUUGGUAUCCCCUUAGCGGGUCAAGGCAUCCCUUUGGUGGCCCUAGACGGGUCUUGGCAGCCACUUGGUGAGUUAAGGGAGGUUAAGCGUGUAAAUGUAACCCCUUGGCUGGCCUACAAGGCCCGUUAGCAGGUUAAGGCGGCCCAACGCAAGUCACGACGAGUCAAGGCGGGUCAAGGCGGCUCCAAUGCGUCAAGGCGGCCCAACGUAGGUCACAGCGAGUCAAGGCGGCCUAAGGCAUGUCAAGGCUGCCCAAGGCAAGUUAAGACGGCCACUUGGCGGCCCUAAACGGGUCAAGGUGGCUCCAAGGCGUGUCAAGGCGACUCCAAGGCCGGUCAAAGUGGGUUAUGGCCGACCAAGGCAGGUCAAGGUGGGUCAAGGCGGCCUAAGGUGAGUCAAGGCAGCCUAAGACGGUUCAAGGUAGCCCCUUAACGGGUUAAGUAGGCCUAAGACAGUUCAAGGCAGCCCCUUAACGGGUCAAAGCGUGUCAAGGCUGCCCAAGGCGGGUCGAAGGCGGCCUAAGGCGGGUCAAGACGGCCACUUGGCGGUCCUAAGCGGGUUAAGGCGGCCUAAGGCGGGGCAAAGCGGCCGAAGGCGGGGCAAGACUGGUCAAGGCGGCCGAAGGUGGGCCAAGGCGGGUCACGGCAGCCCCUUAACAGGUCAAGGCGGGUUAAGGCAGCCCUAAGCGGGUCAAGGUGGCCUUAAGCGGGUUAAGACGGCCCUAAGGGGGUCAAAGUGGGUUAAAGCGGGUCAAGACGGCCACUUGGAGCCUUAAGCUAGACAAGACGGGUCAAGGCGGACCAAAGCGGGUCAAUGCGGGUGAAGGUGGCCCUAAGGCGGUUCAAGGCAGUCCAAGACGGUUCAAGGUAGCCCUUUAUGGGGUCAACGCAGCCCAAGGCUGGCCUAGGCGGGUCAAGACGGCCACUUGGCGGGUCAAGGCGGGUCAAGCGGCCCAAGACGACCUAAUGCAAGUCAAGGCGGGGCAAGGUUGGUCAAAGUGGCCACUUGACGGCCCAAGUCGGCCCUAGGCGGGUCACGGCGGCCCCUUGGUGAUCCAAAACGGGUCUUGGCAGCUCCUUGGUGGGUCAAGGCGGCCCGUUGGUGUCCUUAGAUGAGUCUUGGCAGCCCCUUGGUGGGUCAAGCCGGCUCUAGUUGAGUCUUGGCGGGCCUAAGGGAGGUCAAAGUGUCCUUAGGCUUGUAAAGGCAGCCCCUUGGCGGGUUAAGACGGCCCCUUGGUGUCUCUAAAUAGGUCUUGGUAUCCCCUUAUCGGGUCAAGACGGCCCAAGCCAGCCUAAGGCGGCCCUAGUUGUAUCUUGAUGGGUCAAGACGUCCCUUGGCGGGUCAAGACGGCCCUUGGCAGGUCAAGGCGACCCUAGGUGAUCAUGGAGGGUCAAGGAAGCCCCCUUAAUGGGUCAACCAAGGCGGUCCUAGAAGGUCAAGGCGGCCCCUUGGUGGCCCUAGACAGGUCAAGAAGGCCUCUUAGCGACCUUAGGCGAGUUAAGGCGGCCCUUUGGUGGCACUAAACGGGUCUUGGCAGCCUCUUGGUGGAUUAAAGGAGGUUAAAGCGGCCUAAAGCAUCUAAAGGCAGCCCCUUGGCGGACCUAGAAGGCCCCUUGGCGGGUCAAGGCGACCUAGGGGGCCUAGGUGGAUUAAGGCAACCCUUAACGGGUUAAGGCGGCCCAAGGCGGGUCAAGAUGGCCACUUGGCGGCCCUAAACGAGUCACGGCGGGGCACGGCGACCUAAGGCGGGGUAAGGCUGGUCAAGGCGGUAACUUGGUUGCCUUAGGCGGCCCCUUGGUUGUCCAAAACAGGUCUUGGCAGCUCCUUUGUGGGUCAAGGCUGCCCUAGUAGAGUCUUGGCGGGCCUAAGGGAGGUCAAAACGGCCCUAGGCGUGUAACGGCAGCCCCUUGGCGGGUUAAGACGACUCAUUGGCGAGUUAAGGCGACCAUAGACGGGCCUAAAAGGGUCAAGACAACCACUUAACGGGCCAAGGAGGCCCAAGGCAGGUCAAGACAGCCUAAGACGGUUCAAGGCAGCCCUUUAACGGGUUAAGGCAGCCCAAGACGGUUCAAGACAGCCCCUUAACAGGUCAAGGCGGGUCAGGGCAGCCCAUGGCGUGUCAUGGUGGCCUAAGGUAGGUCAAGGUGGGUCAACGCAGCCCAACGCGGGUUAAAGAGGCCUAAGGUGUGUCAAGGCGGCCCAAGGUGGGUCAAGACGGCCACUUAACGGCCCUAAGCGAGUUCAGGCGACCCAAGGUAGGACAAGGCGGGUCAAGGCGGCUCAAGGCAGGUCACGGCGACCCCUUGGUAGCCCUAAACGCAUAAAGGCAACCCCUUGGCAGGUUAAGACGGCCCUUUGGCAGGCUAAGACAGCCCCUUGGCGGGUCAAGGCGACCUACGCGGGCCUAAAAGGGUUAAGGCAGCCAGUUAACAGAUCAAGGCGGCCCAAGUCGGGUUAAGGUGGCCCAUGGCGGGUUAAGGCAACCCCUUAACGGGUCAAGGCGGCCCAAGGCGGGUUACGAAGGGUCAAGGCGACCCAAGGCGUGUCAACGCGGCCCAAGGAGGGUCAAGACGGCCACUUGGCGGCCCUAAACAGGUCAAAGCAGGUUAAGGUGGCCCAAAGAGGGUCAAGACGGCCAUUUGGCGGCCCAGGGCUUCCUUAACCCUCCUAGGCCCGCCUAGGGCCACCAAGGGCUUGACCCUUUUAGGGCCGCCAAGAGGCCACCUUAACUCAUUUAGGGCCGCCAAAAGGCCACGUUGGCCGCCAUGGGCCGCCUUGACCCGCCUUGGCCGCCUUGACACUCCUACGGGCGCCAAGAGGUCGCUCUAACCAAUCUAGGGCCGGCAAGGGGCCGCUUUGACUGACCUUGGCCCCUAGGUGUCCCAAGACGGGUCUUGGCAACUCCAUAGUGGGUCAAGGCGGUAGGUUGGUGUCUGAAGACGGGUCUUGGUAGCCCCUUGACGGGUCUAUGGGAGGUCAAAGCGGCCCUAGGCUUGUAAAGGCCGCCCCUUGGCGGGUCAAGGUGACCCUAGGAGGGCCGGAGCCACAUAACGGGUCAAGGAGGCUCAAGACGGGUUAAUGCGGGGAAAGGCGACCCAAGACGAGUAAAGCCGGUCCAAGACGGUUCAAGGCACCCCCUUGGUGGCCAUAAACGAGUCUAGGCGGGUCAAGGUGACCAGUUGCUGUCUCUAAACAGGUGUUGGCAGCCCCUUGGUGAGUCAAGGCGGCCCUAGUUGUAUCCUGACCCGCCCAAGGCUGCCUUGACCCUAUUAUGCCCGCCUAGGGCCACCAAAGGGCCGCCUUGACCCGUCUUGACCUGCUUUGGGCCGCUUUGACCCGCCUUGACCCUCCUAGAGCCGCCUUGACCCUCCUUAGGCCACCUCGACCCGCCUUCGCCAUGAGGCCGCCUUAACCCAUCUAGGGCCGCCUUGACCCGCCUUGGCCCGCCAUGAACCUCUUUGACCCACCUUGGGCCGUCUUGACCCUCCUUGGGCCGCCUUGACCCGUCUUGGACUGCCUUGAUCCCCCUUAACCUGCCUUGGGCCGCCUUGACCCUUCUUGACCUUCCUAAACCCUCCAAAGAGCCGCCUUAACCCGCCUUAACCCGCCUUGACGCCUUUACCCUUCUAGGGCCACCAAGGGGCCGCCUUGACCCUCCUAGGACCGCUUAGGGCCUCCAAGGGGUCGCCUUAACCCGCCAAGAGGGCGCCUUGACCCGCCUAGGGCCGCUAAGGGGUUUCCUAGACCCUCCUAGACCCAUCUAGGGGCAUCAAGGGGCCGCCUUGACCCGUCUAGGGCCUCUAAUGGGUCGCCUUGACCCGCCCACGGCUGCCUUGACCCGCCUUGACCAUCCUUGACUCUCCUAGACCCUCCAAGAGGCCGCCUUGAUCCGCCUUAACCUACCCUGGGCUGCCUUGACCCGCCUUAACCCGCACAGGGCUGCCUUAACCCUCCUAGGCCUGCCUAGGGCCACCAAGGGGUCGCCUUGACCCUCUGAGGGCCGCCAAGAGGCCACCUUAAUCCUAUUAGGCCCGCCUAGGGCCACCAAGGGGUCGUAUUAACCCGCCAAGAGGCCACCUUGACACGCCUAGGGCCGCAAAGGGGUUGCCUAGACCCUUUUAGACCCAUAUAGGGGUACCAAGGGGCCGUCUUAACCCAUCUAGGACCUCCAAGGGGCCGCCUUGACUAGCCUAGGGCUGCCAUGACCCGCCCAGAGCUGCCUUGACCUACCCAGGGAUGCCUUGACCCGCCUUGGCCGCCUUGACCCUCCUAGGGCUGCCAAGAGGCCGCCUUAACCCAUCUAGGGCCGCCAAGUGGCCGACUUGACCCGCAUUGGCCCGCCAUGGGCCUCUUUGACCCUCCUUGACCCUCUUUGGACCGCCUUGAUCCGCUUUGGACCGCCUUGACCCGCCUUGACCCUCCAAGGGGCUGCCUUGAUCCGCCUUAACCCGCCCAGGGCCGCCUUGUCCCCUCUAAAGCCGGCAAGAGGCCACCUUAACCUAGUUAGGGCCGUCAAGGGGCCACCUUGGCCCGCCAUAGGCUGUCUUGACCCGUCUUGGGCCGCCAUGGGCCGCCUUGACACUCCUACAAGCGCCAAGAGGCCUCCUUAACCCAUCUAGGGCCGCCAAGGGGCCAGUUUGACCCGCCUUGGCCUGUCAUGAGCCGCCUUGACCCGCUUUGGGACGCCUUGACCCGGUUUGACCCUCUUAGAGCCGCCAAGAGGCUGCCUUAACCCAUCUUGGGCCUCCAAGGGGCCGCCUUGACCCGUCAUGGGCCUCCUUGACCCGCCUUGACCCUCCUAGACCCUCCAAGGGGCCGCCUUGACCCGCCUUAACCCGUCAUCGGCCUUCCUUGACAUGGCUUCCUUGACCCUCCUACGGUCGCCAAGAGGCCACCUUAACCCAUUUAAGGCCACCAAGAGGCCGUCUUGACCCGCCUUGGACCGCCUUCACCCUCCUUGACCCUCUUAGACCCUCCAAGGAGCCGCCUUGACUUGCCUUAACACGCCUUGGGCCACCUUGACCAGCGUUGGCCUGCCUUGACCCUUCAUGGGCCGUUUUUACCCGUCUAAGGCCGCCUUGACCCGCACAGGGCUGUCUAGACCCUCCUAAGGCCGCCUUAACCCGCCUAGGGGUUCCCCAGACUUAGCUAGACCCAUCUAAGGGAACCAAGGAGCCGCCUUGACCCGUCCAGGGCUGCCUUGACCCUCUUAGUCCCGCCUUGGUCAAAGCAGCCCAAGGCGGGCAAGGUGGCCCAGGGCGGGUCAAGACAGCCACUUGGUGGCCCUAAGCUGGUCAAGGUGGUCAAGGCAGAAAAAGGCGGCCGAAGACGGGUUAAGGAGGGCCAAAACGGGUAACGGCGGCCCCUUGGUUGCCCUAAACGGGUCUUGGUAGCCCCUUGGCGGGUCAAGGUAGCCCCUAGUGUCCCAAGACGGGUCUUGGCAGCCCCUUGGCGGGUCAAGGCAGCCCCUUGGCAAGUCAAGCUGACCCUAGAUGAGUCUUAGCGGGCCUAAGGGAUGUUAAAGCGGCCCUAGGUGUGUGAAGGCAGCCCCUUAGCAGGUCAAGACGGUUGGCGGGCCUAGGAUGGUCAAGGUGACCCUAGGCGGGCCUAGGAGGGUCUAGAAAGGUGAAGGCAGCCACUUAACGGGUCAAGGAGGCUCAAGGCGGGUUAAGACGGCCCAAGACGGUUCAAGGCAAUCCCUUGGUGGCCCUAAACGAGUCUAGGCGGCCCCUUGAUGUUCCUAAACAUGUCUUGGUAGCCCCUUGGUGGGUUAAGGUGGCCCUAGUUGUGUCUUGGCGAGCCUAAGGGAGGUCAAAACUGGCCUAGGCGUGUAAAGGCAACCCUUGGCAGGUCAAGAUGACCCUUUGGCAGAUCAAGACGAACCUAGGCAGGCCUAGGAGGGUCAAGGCAGCCCCUUAACGGGUCAAGGCGGCCCAAAGCGAGUCAAGGCGGCCCAAGGAGGGUUAAGGCGGCAACUUGGCCGCCCUAGGCUGCCCAAGACGGCCCCUUGGCGGCCUUAGGCGGGUCACGGCGGCCCCUUGGCGGCGCCAAACAGGUCUUGGCAUCCCCUUGGCGGGUCAAAACUGCCCAUUGCUGUCCCUAGACGGGUUUUUGGAGCCCCUUGGCAGGUCAAGCCGACCCUAGUUGAGUCUUGGCGGGCAUAAGGGAGGUCAAAGCGGCCCUAGGCAUGUAAAGGCAGCCCCUUGGCGGGUCAAGACGGCCCAAGGCGAGGCAAGGCGUCCCAAGCGGGCAUAGGAGGGUCAACGUAGCCCCUUAACGGGUCAAGGCAUGUCAAGGCGGUCCAAGGUGUGUCAAGACGGCCCAAGCCAGCCCAAGCCAGCCCUAGUUGUGUCUUAGCGAGUCAAGGCGACCCUAGGCGUUCGUAGGAGGGUCAAGGAAGCCCCCUUAACGGGUCAAGGCGGCCCUAGGCGGGCCUAGAAGGGUCAAAGCGAACCCUUGGUGGCCCUAGAUAGGUUAAGACUGCCUCUUAGUGACCUUAGGCAGGUCAAGGCGGUCCCUUAGUGGCCCUAGACAGGUCUUGGAUUCCCCUUAGCGGGUUGAGGGAGGUUAAAGCGGCCUAAAGCAUGUAAAGGUAGCCCCUUAACGGGUCAAGGCGGCCCGUUGGUGGCCCUAGACGGGUCUGGGCAGCCCCUUGGUGGCCCUAAUUGGGUCUCAACGGGUCUUAGUGAGGUCAAAGCAGCCUUAGGUGUGUAAAGGCAGCCCCUUGGCGGGUUAAGGCUGCCCUAGUUGGGUCUCGGUAGGUCUUAGGGAGGUUAAAACAGCCCUAAGCAUAUAAAGGAAGCACCUUGGCGGGUCAAGACAGCCCUUUGGCGGGCCUAAGAGGGUCAAAGCAGCCCUUUGGUGGCCCUAAAUAGGUCAAGGCGGCCCCUUGGUGGCCUUAUACGGGUCUUGGCAGCCCCUUGGCGGGUCAAGGCGGCCCUAGUUGGGUCUCGGCGGGUCUUAGGGAGGUUAAAGCGGUCUUAGGCGUGUAAAAGCAGCCUCUUGGUGGGUCAAGGCGAGCCUAGGAGGGUGGAGGCAGCCCCUGAACGGGUCAAGGUGGGUUAAGGCGGCCCUUCGGUGAUCCUAGACGGGUCAAGGCGGCCCCUUUGCAGGUCAAGGCGGUUCUAGUUGGAUCUCGAUAGGCCUUAGGGAGGUCAAAGCGGCCCUAGGUGUGUGUAAAGGCAAGGCAGCCCCUUAGCGGGUCAAGGCGGCCUAGGUGGGUCAAGACCACCCCUGAGCUACCCUAGGUAGGUCUCGGCAGCCCCUUGACGGGUCUAGGCUGUCCCUAUGCGAGUCUAAACAAUCCCCAUGCAGGUCUAAGCGGCCAUUGGUGGCCCUUAGGUGAGUUAAGGUGGCUCUGGGCGGGUCUCAGCGGCCCUUGGCUGGUCUAGGCCACUAAGCGGGUCUAAGUUGUCCCUUUGCAGGUCAUGGCAACCCUUGGCGACCCUAAGUUGUCCCUACACGGGUCUAGGAUGUCCCUACACUGGUCAAGGCGGAUUUAGGCGGCCCCUUACUGGUUGUCCAAAGUAAUUCUAGAGAGUCGAAUUGUUAGUUGGAGCGAGAUAGAUAUAUGACAUUAGCAUGGAGCAUAUCGAUGAAUUAAGUGGUGGAAAUAUGAAUGGAAUGAGUACGUUAAAUUCGGAAAGCACGGGAAGAACGUGAGAAGAGUUGUAGAUCAAGGAUUCUAGAUUUUACUAUAACGAGACACGCUUUCUCCAAUUUUCUUCUCACUUUUUGUCAUUACGAUUAUAAUCCACAUAAGUUAGAUCGUUGAAGAUCAUACAUGUGCUCAAAGUAAACACAUCAACAUUCUAAAGAAAAAAACAUGACAUAUAAGACAGGGCAAUACUGCAGUAUAUUGAAAUCUUUGGGGUCACACAGCCAAAUCUUAAAAUUGCAACAAUUACUCUAUCGGGUAUAAAAGAAAAACCCUUGUAACUGAUUAGUUUAAUCCGUCCACUCUCUUUCUCUGAAACCACUUCCUCUCUUGAACACCCAAAAAGCCUCACUCUUUGUCUCUCCUCUCCUCU
This 14907-nucleotide long non-coding RNA is filed under the name Fragaria vesca (wild strawberry). RNAcentral describes it as "long non-coding RNA (FVES_LNC002741)". Lineage: Eukaryota; Viridiplantae; Streptophyta; Magnoliopsida; Rosales; Rosaceae. The record is from RNAcentral.